This 397-nucleotide ribosomal RNA is filed under the name uncultured bacterium. Its description in RNAcentral is "bacterial SSU rRNA". It matches the Rfam family "Bacterial small subunit ribosomal RNA", at positions 361 to 774 of the family's 1533-position model. The record is from RNAcentral.
AUAUUGCAAAAUGGGCGAAAGCCCGAUGCAGCAACGCCGCGUGGGCGAUGAAGGCCUUCGGGUCGUAAAGCCCUUUUUGAGGGGAUGAGGAAGGACAGUACCCUCAGAAUAAGCCUCGGCUAACUACGUGCCAGCAGCCGCGGUAAAACGUAGGAGGCGAGCGUUAUCCGGAUUUACUGGGCGUAAAGCGCGUGCAGGCGGAUUGGAGAGUUGGAUGUGAAAGCUCCCGGCUUAACUGGGAGAGGUCGUUCAAUACUUCCAGUCUUGAGUGCAGUAGAGGGAAGUGGAAUUCCGGGUGUAGUGGUGAAAUGCGUAGAUAUCCGGAGGAACACCAGUGGCGAAAGCGGCUUCCUGGACUGUAACUGACGCUCAGACGCGAAAGCUAGGGUAGCAAACG